GAGACCCUCGCUGCUACUUGCUAUUUCUUAUCCUCGGAUUAGAAAGCACAAUAGCAGGACCGCGCCUGUAAAGGCGAGGAAGGUGAGGGCGACGUCAAGUCAGUAUGCCCCGAAUGUCUCGGGCUACACGCGCGCUGCAAUGCGUAAGGCAAUGAGAUGCAACACCGAAAGGUGAAGCCAAUCCCAUAAACUUACGCUCAGUUCAGAUCGAGGGUUGCAACUCACCCUCGUGAGGCCGGAAUCCCUAGUAACCGUGUUUCAUCAUGGCACGGUGAAUAU
This 279-nucleotide ribosomal RNA is filed under the name uncultured archaeon. Its description in RNAcentral is "partial 16S rRNA". It matches the Rfam family "Archaeal small subunit ribosomal RNA", at positions 1047 to 1325 of the family's 1478-position model. The record is from RNAcentral.